AACGAACGCUGGCGGCAUGCCUAACACAUGCAAGUCGAACGAGACCUUCGGGUCUAGUGGCGCACGGGUGCGUAACGCGUGGGAAUCUGCCCUUAGGUUCGGAAUAACAGUUAGAAAUGACUGCUAAUACCGGAUAAUGACGUAAGUCCAAAGAUUUAUCGCCUAGGGAUGAGCCCGCGUAGGAUUAGCUAGUUGGUGGGGUAAAAGCCUACCAAGGCGACGAUCCUUAGCUGGUCUGAGAGGAUGAUCAGCCACACUGGGACUGAGACACGGCCCAGACUCCUACGGGAGGCAGCAGUGGGGAAUAUUGGACAAUGGGCGAAAGACCUGAUCCAGCAAUGCCGCGUGAGUGAUGAAGGCCUUAGGGUUGUAAAGCUCUUUUACCCGGGAUGAUAAUGACAGUACCGGGAGAAUAAGCUCCGGCU
This 425-nucleotide ribosomal RNA is filed under the name uncultured bacterium. RNAcentral describes it as "bacterial SSU rRNA". It matches the Rfam family "Bacterial small subunit ribosomal RNA", at positions 29 to 498 of the family's 1533-position model. The record is from RNAcentral.